AAUGACUUGUUUUAUCAUGGAUAAAAAUAAUCGCGUAAUAAUUUUUGUCGAAUAUGAAUUGUUAUCCGCGUCAUAUGUCACUAACUUAUCAUUUAAGCAAUCUUCUUUCUCACAACUAAAUCUUUUCUUUAAAGUUUUUACAGAUUUUAUAAAUACAUACCUAUCUCUUUGCAAAACUUUCGUACGUGUAUUAUAUUUUUAAAAGUAGAACAAAAAGUCGUCGACAUGUUUUAUCAUGAUUUAUUAUCUUUCUCAAAAUGCAACUGUUCUUUAUUUUUUCUUUAAAAUUUCGUAUAUUAAAAUAAUAUUUCUAAUAUUGUUAAUUAAAUUACAGGUUAAAUUGAAAAUAAGAUAUUGAGAAGAAGAAAAAUAAGCUAGAAGAUAAUCAAUUUCAACUUUGAAGAUUUUCUAUUGACUCAGGAGGAAGUGGAGACACGGUCAAGUCUCAGCGCUACUUAAACUCGUAAUCCGACCCAUCCUCCACGUACAUAGAUCUACUUGUCGUGUAUAAAGCUAAAAUACCUAUGUGCUCGUUAUGUAUACACAUAAUCCAGCCAACGUAACUCGUGGUUUAUGUUGUACCUCGAGUGCAUCGUUACCUACUCCGCUUCAGCGAUAAUUUAAUUGUCCGUUGAUGCCAGCGGCGACGUCAUUUUCACAAAGUUUGACCUAACUUUUGGACCUGGUGAUUUGUGGAAUUUAAUUCAACUAUCGAAUAAUGCUCCGUAAUGAGUCAUACCAAACAUUGGCGUGAAAUUUAUUACUGGGACGUUGAACGUGCAUAAAUCAACUGAAGAAAUGUAAACACGCGGUAUGCUAAGUAUUAGCACUCUUUUCAUCGGUUCUCGACCUUUGGGCAAAGAUACGAGGUGGAAGCUCAAGAACAACAAAAAAAAGAGGGAAUAAAAACUCGAUCGUUUAACAAAUUCGAGGUACAAAACAAUCGGAAUACAAAGGUAAUUCAUUUAUAUAAAUACGAAAUAUAUUGUUAUUAUUUAUUUAAUUAACAUCAACCAAGCUCGUCCACGAUGUUUCUCCGCAAUUAGCUUAUAUAACUGGAAGAUUCGUUAGUGGCAAAUCGAAUCGUCCGGAAAGAAUUGAGAUUCAACGAGGGGCAAUUGUGAGAUGCACUUGAACCGGUGGCUCUGCGAGUAAAUCCGUUAACCCGCGGCGAAAAGAGCCUUGAGCCAAGUAAAAUGGCCGGGUUUUAACCCCUUGCACUUCAACUGCCAGUCGAGUUAGCUAUAAAAUGUUGAACGUUUCAAUGGAACUAAAUUUGAUAUAAUAUUUUUCUUCUUCAUCUCGAUACGGAAGAGAAUAGAUUUUAUUACUUAUCUAUUUGUAUAAAUA
Long non-coding RNA from Apis mellifera (honey bee), 1350 nucleotides. RefSeq lists it as uncharacterized. NCBI's taxonomy places the organism in Eukaryota, Metazoa, Arthropoda, Insecta, Hymenoptera, Apidae. The record is from RefSeq and is a predicted model, not a curated record. The transcript has 3 exons.